RNAcentral lists this ribosomal RNA (425 nucleotides) under uncultured bacterium. RNAcentral describes it as "bacterial SSU rRNA". It matches the Rfam family "Bacterial small subunit ribosomal RNA", at positions 355 to 772 of the family's 1533-position model. The record is from RNAcentral.
UGGGGAAUAUUGGACAAUGGGCGAAAGCCUGAUCCAGCGACGCCGCGUGGGUGAAGAAGGCCUGCGGGUUGUAAAGCCCUUUCGGUGGGGAAGAAAAGCCUCGAGCUAACACCUCGGGGUCUUGACGUAACCCAUAGAAGAAGCACCGGCUAACUCUGUGCCAGCAGCCGCGGUAAUACAGAGGGUGCGAGCGUUAAUCGGAAUUACUGGGCGUAAAGCGCGCGUAGGCGGCUUUGCAAGUCGGGUGUGAAAUCCCCAGGCUUAACCUGGGAACUGCAUUCGAGACUGCAUUGCUAGAGUAUGGGAGAGGGAAGUGGAAUUUCCGGUGUAGCGGUGAAAUGCGUAGAUAUCGGAAGGAACAUCAGUGGCGAAGGCGGCUACCUGGACAAAUACUGACGCUGAGGCGCGAGAGCGUGGGGAGCAAA